AUGGACCGAAGUGCAGCAAACUGUCCAAGCUGUUUCAAUGCUGCAUAUUCGCAAAGAGCUGGAGGGAAAGGAGAGGGUGGUUUGCGAGAUGACUCCACGCAAACAUCCAGCGAGCCCUGCUGGCAGCUCCAACCUCUUCUAAACAACUUCUGGACCCUGUGUAAACAGUCUUCUGCUUUUAUAAACACAGCAUCCAGAUCGUGGAGUGGAAAAAAGCUGAAGCCGUCACGUGAAGGGAAGAUGUAUUGCUUCCGGCAGCUUAAUUGAAACCAACCAUGGAGAACGAAUUCAAGGUGUAUAGGGAAAACUUCAUCCAUUGCCCGGAGGAAAUGUGCUGCAUCUGUGUGAGAUUCUUUCAUUUCUCCUUAAAAACUGCUCUGAGUACAUGUAACGUUUCUUAUAAUUUUAUUGACCCGGUUAUCGUGAGUUCGGUUCAUCCACAAUCUCUGUGCUCUGCCUGCCCCAUCAGCACCAUCCCACUGCUGUCAGCCCCGAACUGAACAAAACUUAGGAUACAAGUAGACAUUUGUUCUUCUAAACACAGACAUUUCCAUUUGGGCCUUUCUCCCUGGAAGUGCUCUUUGGGGCUGGGCUUGGUGGUGCCUGAAAGCGUGGCUGUUUUUUAAGUAAGAGACCAAAUCUCAUUAAGUCUGGGAUCCCUUUAAAUGCCAUCUUGAGAGCAGUAUUUCAAAUAGCCAGCUAAGCCCUCCCCACAUGGCACUAACCCAACUCUGAUAGUGACAUUUAAAAUUAAUCUGAACCAUCCCAUCCCCAGCGAGGACACCGCAUGCUGCCCUCUGAAGUGCAGCUAUGUGAGCGCCUGCAGCAGAGCAAAGAAACCCCCAGACCUGUGGGGUGGGUGCUGGUCCCAGGCUGUGGGGUUCCAGGUGAUGGGAUGGGCUGUAGGCACGGGAGUGGUGAUUGGGAGCUCAUGCAAAACCCUUGUUCAGAGAUCCUGUGAAGGUUUUGAGAAAUAUCCCCCUUGUCAUAGAAUGGUUUGAGUUGGAAUGGACCCACAAAGGCCACCUGGUCCCACUGCCUGCAAUGCACAGGGACACCCACAGCUCCAUCAGUGCACAGAGCCCUCCAGCCUGACCCUGGUGGUCUGCAGGGGUGGGGCACGACCACCACCACCCUGUGCAGUGCCUCACCACCCUCACUGGAAACAUCUUCUUCCUUAUACCCAGCCUAAAUCUCCCCUCCAUUAGUUGGAAACCAUCUCUCCUUGUCCUGUCACAAGAGACCCCAGAGUCUGUCCCCUUCUUUC
RNAcentral lists this long non-coding RNA (1267 nucleotides) under Numida meleagris (helmeted guineafowl). Its description in RNAcentral is "lncRNA (ENSNMEG00000015573.1)". Lineage: Eukaryota; Metazoa; Chordata; Aves; Galliformes; Numididae. The record is from RNAcentral.